CAGACCUCUAAUCGGAAAAGACUACCCGCUGAGUUUAAGCAUAUCAAUAAGCGGAAGGAA
This 60-nucleotide ribosomal RNA is filed under the name Pseudoleskea radicosa. RNAcentral's name for it is "partial 25S ribosomal RNA". Lineage: Eukaryota; Viridiplantae; Streptophyta; Bryopsida; Hypnales; Leskeaceae. The record is from RNAcentral. RNAcentral also lists the same sequence under 1 other name.